Molecule: ribosomal RNA, 466 nt
Filed under: uncultured bacterium
Lineage: Bacteria
Description: bacterial SSU rRNA
Rfam family: Bacterial small subunit ribosomal RNA
Source: RNAcentral
GAGUUUGAUCCUGGCUCAGGAUGAACGCUGGCGGCGUGCCUAAUACAUGCAAGUCGAGCGAACAGAUAAGGAGCUUGCUCCUUUGAAGUUAGCGGCGGACGGGUGAGUAACACGUGGGUAACCUACCUAUAAGACUGGGAUAACUUCGGGAAACCGGAGCUAAUACCGGAUAAUAUUUAGAACCGCAUGGUUCUAAAGUGAAAGAUGGUUUUGCUAUCACUUAUAGAUGGACCCGCGCCGUAUUAGCUAGUUGGUAAGGUAACGGCUUACCAAGGCGACGAUACGUAGCCGACCUGAGAGGGUGAUCGGCCACACUGGAACUGAGACACGGUCCAGACUCCUACGGGAGGCAGCAGUAGGGAAUCUUCCGCAAUGGGCGAAAGCCUGACGGAGCAACGCCGCGUGAGUGAUGAAGGGUUUCGGCUCGUAAAACUCUGUUAUUAGGGAAGAACAAAUGUGUAAGUAA